GAUGAAGAACGUAGUGAAAUGCGAUAAGUAAUGCGAAUUGCAGAAUUCAGUGAAUCAUCGAAUCUUUGAACGCACAUUGCGCCCGCUAGUAUUCUGGCGGGCAUGCCUGUCUGAGCGUCAUUUCAACCCUCGCCCCCGGCUUUUGCUGGGAGCGGUGUUGGGGAUCGGCCGCCCGUCACUGGGAGGCCGGCCCCGAAAUAGAGUGGCGACCACGCCGUGUGCUCCUCUGCGUAGUAGUAAAUCACCUCGCAGGCGGACAGCGGUGCGGCCUGCCGUAAAACCCCCAACUCUUUCUGGUUGACCUCAGAUCAGGUAGGAAUACCCGCUGAACUUAAGCAUAUAAUAAGCGGAGGA
This 354-nucleotide unclassified non-coding RNA is filed under the name soil metagenome. RNAcentral's name for it is "partial contains 5.8S ribosomal RNA, internal transcribed spacer 2, and large subunit ribosomal RNA". The stretch from base 1 to 120 matches the Rfam family "5.8S ribosomal RNA", at positions 35 to 154 of the family's 154-position model. The record is from RNAcentral.